RNAcentral lists this ribosomal RNA (253 nucleotides) under uncultured bacterium. RNAcentral describes it as "partial 16S ribosomal RNA". It matches the Rfam family "Bacterial small subunit ribosomal RNA", at positions 524 to 776 of the family's 1533-position model. The record is from RNAcentral.
GACAGAGGUGGCAAACGUUACCCGGAUUCAUUGGGCGUAAAGGACGUCUAGGCGGUUUGGUGUGUCCUCUGUAAAAGCCCCCUGCUUAACGGGGGGAGGCCAGGGGAAACUACCAGACUAGAGGGUCGGAGAGGGAAGCGGAACUACCAGAGGAGCGGUGAAAUGCGUAGAUACUGGUAGGAACCUCGAUAGCGAAGGCAGCUUCCUGGCCGAUACCUGACGCUGAAGCGUGAAAGCGUGGGGAGCAAACCGG